RNAcentral lists this ribosomal RNA (119 nucleotides) under Choloepus hoffmanni (Hoffmann's two-fingered sloth). The record is from RNAcentral. Lineage: Eukaryota; Metazoa; Chordata; Mammalia; Pilosa; Megalonychidae.
GUCUGCGGCCAUACCACCCUGAACGCGCCCGAUCUCGUCUGAUCUCGGAAGCUAAGCAGGGUCGGGCCUGGUUAGUACUUGGAUGGGAGACCGCCGGGGAAUACCGGGUGCUGUAGGCU